GUACGCUGGCGGCACGCCUUAUACAUGCAAGUCGAACGCAGUAGCAAUACUGAGUGGCAAACGGGUGAGUAUAAUGUGGGUAUCUGCCUUUUGGUUUGGAAUAACAUGAGGAAACUUGUGCUAAUACCGAAUAAGCCUUCACAGGGAAAGUUUUAUACGCCGAAAGAUGAGCCCGCACUUGAUUAGUUUGUUGGUGAGGUAAUGGCUCACCAAGACAAUUAUCAAUAGCUGGUCUGAGAGGACGAUCAGCCACAUUGGGACUGAGACACGGCCCAGACUCCUACGGGAGGCAGCAGUAAGGAAUCUUGCACAAUGGGGGAAACCCUGAUGCAGCGAUGCCGCGUGAGUGAAGAAGGCCCUUGGGUUGUAAAACUCUUUCGUCGGGGAAGAAAAUGACUGUACCCGAAUAAGAAGGUCCGGCU
RNAcentral lists this ribosomal RNA (422 nucleotides) under uncultured bacterium. RNAcentral's name for it is "bacterial SSU rRNA". It matches the Rfam family "Bacterial small subunit ribosomal RNA", at positions 31 to 498 of the family's 1533-position model. The record is from RNAcentral.